CCUGGUGACCAUGGCGGAGGGGAAACACCCGUUCCCAUCCCGAACACGGCCGUUAAGCCCUCCAGCGCCGAUGGUACUGGCGGGGCAACCCGCUGGGAGAGUAGGACGUCGCCAGGA
Molecule: ribosomal RNA, 117 nt
Filed under: Thermoanaerobaculum aquaticum
Lineage: Bacteria; Pseudomonadati; Acidobacteriota; Thermoanaerobaculia; Thermoanaerobaculales; Thermoanaerobaculaceae
Also listed under: 5 other names
Source: RNAcentral